This is an RNA transcript of Zea mays, 1894 nucleotides long. It is a transcript of the gene named cytochrome P450 72A14-like, with no coding region annotated. Lineage: Eukaryota; Viridiplantae; Streptophyta; Magnoliopsida; Poales; Poaceae. The transcript has 4 exons. The record is from RefSeq and is a predicted model, not a curated record.
GACAAGUUCAGCCACAGUGUGGCAAUCACUAUUUAACCUGAUCGACCCCAAAUACCGUACCAUACCCAUCUCAAUUUAGAUCCUACAAUAUCUUCUCGUCGAGGUUCAAAGUAUGGUUCUUGAAGUGUGGUUUGCCGCUGCAGCAGCCUCAGCAAUGCCAUGGACCUUCUUGCUCGGGGGUCUCAUGGCCCUGCAGGUGCUUCUGUGGCAGGCCGGCCGGCUUCUGCGCCAGCUGUGGUGGCAGCCCCGGCGGCUGGAGCGGGCGCUGCGCGCACAGGGCAUCCGCGGCACGGCGUACCGCUUCCCCGCCGGCGACCUCAGGGAAUACGGCCGGCUGGCCAACAAGGAGGCAUGGUCGAAGCCCCUGCCGCCGCGCUGCCACGACAUCGCACACCGGGUGACGCCGUUCCUGCACCGGCUUGUCCUGGAGCACGGGAAGACGAGCAUGUCCUGGUUCGGCUCCACCCCCAGGGUGACCAUCGUCGACCCUGCGCUGGGCGCUGGCCAAGGACGUGCUGUCCAGCAAGUUCGGGCACUUGGAGAAGCUCAACUUCCCGGCGCUGGCCAAGGUGAUGGGCGACGGCCUGGCGAGCCACGAGGGUGCGAGAUGGGCCAAGCACAGGAGGAUCCUCGGCCCUGCGUUCCAGCUUGAGAAGCUCAAGCGCAUGCUGCCUGCGUUCUCUGCGUGCUGCCAAGAGCUGGUGAGUAGGUGGGCGGAGUGCCUCGGCCCGGACGGUUCCUGCGAGCUGGAUGUCUGGCCCGAGCUGCAGAACCUCACCGGAGACGUCAUUUCGCGCACCGCGUUCGGCAGCAGCUACCACCAAGGAAGAAGGAUUUUCCAGCUGCAGACCGAACAGGCUUCGCUUGUCAUGACGAACAUUCAAAACAUUGUAAUCCCCGGUUACAGGUACUUGCCUACCGCGAACAACAGAAAGCUGCGGAAGAACAACAGAGAGGUGGAAUCGAUUCUGCGAGGCAUAAUUGGGAAGAGAAUUCGAGCGAUGGAACGAGGCGAGAGCAGCGAAGACGACUUGCUGGGUGUAUUGCUGGAGACGACGAGCACGAGAGACGACGCUGACGACGACGGGAACAACAAUAGCCAGUCCACCGCCGGCAUGGGGCUGACGAUCCAAGACGUUAUCGAGGAGUGCAAGUUGUUCUAUUUCGCCGGGAUGGAGACCACGUCGGUGCUGCUCACGUGGACAAUGGUCGUGCUAAGCGCGCAUCCGGAGUGGCAGGACCGCGCGAGGGAGGAGGUGCUAGGUCUGUUUGGCAGAGACAAGCCCGAGCACCAUGGCCUAAGCCGCCUUAAGACCGUGACCAUGGUCCUGUACGAGGUUCUCCGGCUGUACCCGCCGGCGACCACUCUCGUCCGGCGAACGGACAAGGAGAUGGAGGUCGGAGGCGUCACCUACCCCGCCGGCGUGCUCCUGGACCUGCCCGUGCUCCUCAUCCACCACGACCCGGACAUCUGGGGAGACGACGCGCACGAGUUCAGGCCCGAGAGGUUCUCCGAGGGGGUCUCCAGGGCCUCCUCCAGGGACCCCGGCGCGUUCCUCCCGUUCGGCCGGGGGCCGCGCGUCUGCAUCGGCCAGAACUUCGCGCUGCUGGAGGCCAAGAUGGCGCUGUGCAUGAUCCUUCAGCGCUUCCAGUUCGAGCUCGCGCCGUCGUACGCUCACGCGCCGCAUACCGUGAUAACGUUGCAUCCCAUGCAUGGUGCGCAACUUAAGCUCAGAGCAAUAUGAUCUCGACACAAUGAUGAUGUCGAUCUCGCUGAUGGCAUUGCUAUGAUUAAAAUUCAAGGAGGCCUUCCCGUGUUAAUUUGGGUUGUACUAUGCUAUCAUGUAUCACUAGUACAAUGUUUCUGUGUUGUAAUGACACAUAAUUAUAUUUG